RNAcentral lists this ribosomal RNA (696 nucleotides) under Escherichia coli. Its description in RNAcentral is "partial 23S ribosomal RNA". It matches the Rfam family "Bacterial large subunit ribosomal RNA", at positions 540 to 1238 of the family's 2925-position model. Lineage: Bacteria; Pseudomonadati; Pseudomonadota; Gammaproteobacteria; Enterobacterales; Enterobacteriaceae. The record is from RNAcentral.
GAAAAAGAACCUGAAACCGUGUACGUACAAGCAGUGGGAGCCUCUUUAUGGGGUGACUGCGUACCUUUUGUAUAAUGGGUCAGCGACUUAUAUUCUGUAGCAAGGUUAACCGAAUAGGGGAGCCGAAGGGAAACCGAGUCUUAACUGGGCGUUAAGUUGCAGGGUAUAGACCCGAAACCCGGUGAUCUAGCCAUGGGCAGGUUGAAGGUUGGGUAACACUAACUGGAGGACCGAACCGACUAAUGUUGAAAAAUUAGCGGAUGACUUGUGGCUGGGGGUGAAAGGCCAAUCAAACCGGGAGAUAGCUGGUUCUCCCCGAAAGCUAUUUAGGUAGCGCCUCGUGAAUUCAUCUCCGGGGGUAGAGCACUGUUUCGGCAAGGGGGUCAUCCCGACUUACCAACCCGAUGCAAACUGCGAAUACCGGAGAAUGUUAUCACGGGAGACACACGGCGGGUGCUAACGUCCGUCGUGAAGAGGGAAACAACCCAGACCGCCAGCUAAGGUCCCAAAGUCAUGGUUAAGUGGGAAACGAUGUGGGAAGGCCCAGACAGCCAGGAUGUUGGCUUAGAAGCAGCCAUCAUUUAAAGAAAGCGUAAUAGCUCACUGGUCGAGUCGGCCUGCGCGGAAGAUGUAACGGGGCUAAACCAUGCACCGAAGCUGCGGCAGCGACACUAUGUGUUGUUGGGUAGGGGAGCG